CACAAUUAACGGUGGAUCACUUGGGUCCGUAGAUCGAUGAAGAACGCAGC
This 50-nucleotide ribosomal RNA is filed under the name Aceria pongamiae (pongamia mite). Its description in RNAcentral is "partial 5.8S ribosomal RNA". Lineage: Eukaryota; Metazoa; Arthropoda; Arachnida; Trombidiformes; Eriophyidae. The record is from RNAcentral.